This 308-nucleotide ribosomal RNA is filed under the name uncultured bacterium. Its description in RNAcentral is "bacterial SSU rRNA". It matches the Rfam family "Bacterial small subunit ribosomal RNA", at positions 28 to 334 of the family's 1533-position model. The record is from RNAcentral.
GACGAACGCUGGCGGCGUGCCUAACACAUGCAAGUCGAACGGAAGUAAGUGCUUCGGUAUUUACUUUAGUGGCGAACGGGUGAGUAACGCGUGAGGAACCUGCCUUUCAGUGGGGGACAACAGUUGGAAACGACUGCUAAUACCGCAUGACGCUUCUUAGGGGCAUCCCUGAGAAGUCAAAGCUUUAUGUGCUGAAAGAUGGCCUCGCGUCUGAUUAGCUAGUUGGUGAGGUAACGGCUCACCAAGGCGACGAUCAGUAGCCGGUCUGAGAGGAUGAACGGCCACAUUGGGACUGAGAUACGGCCCAG